This 574-nucleotide long non-coding RNA is filed under the name Elaeis guineensis (African oil palm). RNAcentral describes it as "long non-coding RNA (EGUI_LNC062234)". Lineage: Eukaryota; Viridiplantae; Streptophyta; Magnoliopsida; Arecales; Arecaceae. The record is from RNAcentral.
GGGUCUAUUGAGUACCAACAUAUAAUCCCCAUUGGCGGGGCCCAUUGAAACAUAGUUAGGCUGAGAGCAUAAAUCCGAUCUGUAUCAAAAUACUUUUGUAUCAUAACAUAUCAUAAUUUUUACUGAAUAUAUGUAUAAUCAAUAAUCCAUAGUAUUUCAGAAUCACUUUUCGUUCAAAACAUAAUUUCAUAAAUCAUGCAUAAUUUUAAAGAAUAAUUACUUAACUUCAGAAUAAAUAUAAAAUAUCUUGAGAAGAUGAUUCAUUACUUUCCUUUCACGGAUCACUGAACGAACAGAUCGAUUAACAUUUAGGAGAUUCUUCAUUGCCUAUUAUUCAAAAUUAUAUUCUUGCAUUAAUUCUAAUUCAAAAUUAAAUCUAACAAAUCGCAGAUCAAAAUCCUACUUAAGAUCGGACUCUUCACUAAACUCGAUCAAAAUCAUCAAAAGAAAGUCUUUCACUAUGCUAAUCUUAGAAAAAUAACUUUGAGAAAGAGAAAUCCAUCAAGAGAAAGAAAUAAUCUAGAGAGAGAUAUUAGAGAAAGAAAGUCUAAUUCUAAAGAGAGAAGCAAGGGGU